GCAUUGGUUGUUCAGUAGUAGAAUUCUCGCCUCCAACGUGGGAGAGCCGGGUUCAAUUCCUGGCCAAUGAA
Molecule: transfer RNA, 71 nt
Organism: Gorilla gorilla gorilla (western lowland gorilla)
Lineage: Eukaryota; Metazoa; Chordata; Mammalia; Primates; Hominidae
Rfam family: tRNA
About the family: Transfer RNA (tRNA) molecules are approximately 80 nucleotides in length. Their secondary structure includes four short double-helical elements and three loops (D, anti-codon, and T loops).
Source: Rfam